CUGCCGGUGACCUGGGCCGAGCCCUCCCGGUCGGCUAAGAUUGCUGAGGAGGCGGCGGGUAGCUGGCAGGCGCCGACUUCCGAAGGCCGCCGUCCGGGCGAGGUGUCCUCAUGACUUCUCUUGUGGACCAUGUCCGUGAUCUUUUUUGCCUGCGUGGUACGGGUAAGGGAUGGACUGCCCCUCUCAGCCUCUACUGAUUUUUACCACACCCAAGAUUUUUUGGAAUGGAGGAGACGGCUCAAGAGUUUAGCCUUGCGACUGGCCCAGUAUCCAGGUCGAGGUUCUGCAGAAGGUUGUGACUUUAGUAUACAGUAAGUGAUCAUAUUCACUUUUUCAGAAUAUUAGCAAAAUUUGGAUUACUUUUAACUACAUGUAGUGAUAAUCUUAUGCUGAUCACAUUGUGUAUUAAAAGUAGAUCUAGCAUCAGUGGUCUGAGAUCAUGUGUGUCUACAACAGAAUCAUAAAAGAAAUGGGUUUUCUUAGAGCCUCAGGAAUGGCUGCUCCAACUUUUUUUUUUUUUUUUUUCUUUUGAGGCAGAGUUUUGCUCUGUCACCCAGGCUGGAGUGCAGUGGCACCAUCUUGGCUCACUGCAACCUCCGCCUCCUGGGUUCAAGCAGUUCUCGUGCCUCAGCCUCCUGAGUAGCUGGGAUCAUAGGCACAUGCCACGAUGCCCAGCUAAUUUUUAUAUUUUUAGUAGAGAUGGGGUUUCACCAUGUUGCCCAGGCUGGUCUCGAAUUCCAGAUCUCAGGUGAUCCACCUGCCUCGACCUGUCAGAGUACUGGGAUUACAAGUGUGAGCCACUGCACCCAGCCGUGGCUGCUCCACCUCUUAACUUCUGUUAGUGGAGUGCCCAUGAGCAUUGGGAGACCUGGGUUCAUGUCUUUAGUUUUGUAGUUUUUUCUUCACUCAGAUGCAGGGGAAGAGAAAAGGUAAGGAGGGAGGAGAUACUAGAUUAUAAUGUGGGGAGGGAAAAUAAUGAGAGUUAGAAAGCCAAG
This 995-nucleotide long non-coding RNA is filed under the name Homo sapiens (human). RNAcentral's name for it is "HSALNT0053550". The record is from RNAcentral. Lineage: Eukaryota; Metazoa; Chordata; Mammalia; Primates; Hominidae.